This 274-nucleotide ribosomal RNA is filed under the name uncultured bacterium. RNAcentral's name for it is "partial 16S ribosomal RNA". It matches the Rfam family "Archaeal small subunit ribosomal RNA", at positions 473 to 747 of the family's 1478-position model. The record is from RNAcentral.
AUACCAGCCCCGCGAGUGGUCGGGGUGAUUAUUGGGCCUAAAGCGCCCGUAGCCGGCCCGGCAAGUCUCCCUCUAAAGCCCCGGGCUCAACCCGGGGAGUGGGGGAGAUACUGCCGGGCUAGGGGGCGGGAGAGGCCGAGGGUACUCCCGGGGUAGGGGCGAAAUCCUAUAAUCCCGGGAGGACCACCAGUGGCGAAGGCGCUCGGCUGGAACGCGUCCGACGGUGAGGGGCGAAAGCCGGGGGAGCGAACCGGAUUAGAUACCCUAGUAGUCC